Molecule: ribosomal RNA, 506 nt
Filed under: uncultured bacterium
Lineage: Bacteria
Description: bacterial SSU rRNA
Rfam family: Bacterial small subunit ribosomal RNA
Source: RNAcentral
GAUUAACGCUAGCGGCAGGCCUAAUACAUGCAAGUCGAACGGCAGCGGGUGUAGCAAUACAUGCCGGCGAGUGGCGCACGGGUGCGUAACACGUAUGCAAUCUACCUUUAACUGGGGAAUAACCCCUCGAAAGAGGGGCUAAUACCGCAUAAUACUUUGAUGGGACAUCCCAUUAAAGUCAAACUUACGGGGGUUAAAGAUGAGCAUGCGUCCGAUUAGCUAGUUGGCGGGGUAACGGCCCACCAAGGCGACGAUCGGUAGGGGAUCUGAGAGGAUGAUCCCCCACACUGGUACUGAGACACGGACCAGACUCCUACGGGAGGCAGCAGUAAGGAAUAUUGGACAAUGGGCGCAAGCCUGAUCCAGCCAUGCCGCGUGCAGGAUGAAAGUGCUAUGCACUGUAAACUGCUUUUGUUUGGGAAAAAACCCCUGGUUUCUACCGGGGCUGAUUGUACCAAAAGAAUAAGGACGGCUAACUUCGUGCCAGCAGCCGCGGUAAAUGACGU